Molecule: non-coding RNA, 905 nt
Organism: Camelina sativa (false flax)
Lineage: Eukaryota; Viridiplantae; Streptophyta; Magnoliopsida; Brassicales; Brassicaceae
Source: RefSeq, a predicted model, not a curated record
UAGCAUUAUAAUAUAGCGUUUAAUGGUCUUUUGCUAUGGUUGACAUACUUUUUAUAGUGUUUGUCGAAAAAGAGACGCUGUGUUUGAUUGAUGCGAAAAACCUAAUUCAUUCUCCCUCUCACUUUCGUUUACUCUCCCUCCAUUGUUUCACUUAUCAAGCUUUUUAAUUUCUCACUGUUUCUGUCCAUCUACGGAUACUCAUCUAAACUCUUAAUCCAGAUUCAUAACUAUAUGUGUCAUCUUCCUCUUCUCCACCAAAAAUAAUGAACCCCCAGAUCUGUUUUAGAUCUCGUCACCGCUCAAUCUCUAUCGCCGGAGUAACCGAAUAAGAUGUGACCACAGAGUUCUUUCGUUGAUUCUCUGAAGUUUGCAAGGGAUCUACUUCGUCGGCGUUGCCACCAUCCCGUCUCCUAGAACUGUCGUCGUUUCCUCAUCUUAGCGUUUGAGUCUGUUGAGAUUUUGUUUUAGGGUUCACCAAUUUGUGUUUUUUAUUCAUAACUCUUAUGAUUUUGUUAAUUCUUCAUGCAUUGGAUUAUAUUAAUUGAGUCGCAACGAUGCUAAUCUUUGAAGGAAUUGAUGUUCUCAUAGAUGAAAGUGAGUGAUAAUUGGGAACGAAGAAUAAGAUCUUUUUGUCGAAGCAUUGGAUCUGUAACGGCGACUGCUGAAGGAAGAAACGAUAUGGUGAGGAAUGAGACAACAUAUCGUGAAGUCAGAUUCAAGAUCUUGACUGUUUCAUAUAUUAAAAAAUCAAGGUAUGAGAUGGGUUGAAGAUGCGGACAACGAGACUGGGUGGGUGUUGAAGAUAGGAGAAGAAAAUAGAAGCGAUGAUGACUUAGUGGUUUCUUUUGCAAUUUUAAGUUUUAAUUUCUUUUUGUUCUACAUUGAGUAAUAAUAUUUAGAUAACA